This 99-nucleotide ribosomal RNA is filed under the name Vibrio parahaemolyticus. Its description in RNAcentral is "partial 23S ribosomal RNA". It matches the Rfam family "Bacterial large subunit ribosomal RNA", at positions 2827 to 2925 of the family's 2925-position model. The record is from RNAcentral. Lineage: Bacteria; Pseudomonadati; Pseudomonadota; Gammaproteobacteria; Vibrionales; Vibrionaceae.
CUAAAGGGUUGUCGGAGACUACGACGUUGAUAGGUCAGGUGUGUAAGUGCUGUGAGGCAUUGAGCUAACUGAUACUAAUUGCCCGUGAGGCUUAACCAU